RNAcentral lists this ribosomal RNA (538 nucleotides) under uncultured Janthinobacterium sp. RNAcentral describes it as "bacterial SSU rRNA". It matches the Rfam family "Bacterial small subunit ribosomal RNA", at positions 1 to 523 of the family's 1533-position model. The record is from RNAcentral. Lineage: Bacteria; Pseudomonadati; Pseudomonadota; Betaproteobacteria; Burkholderiales; Oxalobacteraceae.
ACGCGAUCGAAGAGUUUGAUCCAGUGCUCAGAUUGAACGCUGGCGGCAUGCCUUACACAUGCAAGUCGAACGGCAGCGCGGAAUGGGGUAACCCGGCCUGGCGGCGAGUGGCGAACGGGUGAGUAAUAUAUCGGAACGUACCCUGGAGUGGGGAUAACGUAGCGAAAGUUACGCUAAUACCGCAUACGAUCCAUGGAUGAAAGCAGGGGACCGCAAGGCCUUGUGCUCCAGGAGCGGCCGAUAUCUGAUUAGCUAGUUGGCGGGGUAAAAGCCCACCAAGGCAUCGAUCAGUAGCUGGUCUGAGAGGACGACCAGCCACACUGGAACUGAGACACGGUCCAGACUCCUACGGGAGGCAGCAGUGGGGAAUUUUGGACAAUGGGCGCAAGCCUGAUCCAGCAAUGCCGCGUGAGUGAAGAAGGCCUUCGGGUUGUAAAGCUCUUUUGUCAGGGAAGAAACGGUGCGGGCUAAUAUCCUGUGCUAAUGACGGUACCUGAAGAAUAAGCACCGGCUAACUACGUGCCAGCAGCCGCGGUAA